Molecule: long non-coding RNA, 2726 nt
Filed under: Equus caballus (horse)
Lineage: Eukaryota; Metazoa; Chordata; Mammalia; Perissodactyla; Equidae
Description: lncRNA (ENSECAG00000034961.3)
Source: RNAcentral
UGUUUUCCAUAGUGGCUGCACCAGUUUGCACUCCCACCAGCAGUGUAUGAGAGUUCCCUUCUCUCCACAUCCUCGCCAGCCCUUGUUAUCUCCUGUCUUUUUGAUGACAGCCUUUCUCACAGGAUCACAAUAGUCAUCUGUACCGCAAUGGCAAGAUGUGAAUUAUAUAUGAAAUUUAAAAUGCCUCUCUGCACCGAGGGGAAAUAGCUGUUCCAGAUAAUCACCGCUCCUGGGUACCAGGAAGCAGAUCAGCAUCCUGGAGCCAUAGAUGAGAGAAUAGCUAUUUGGAAGUCGAAUGUGGAGCAGAGCUUUUCUUCGUCCACGAGCGUGGCCAGCCCCUCGCUCAUUGUAGUUCAUCAACAUUUGACUUCAUUUUCUUUUUGAAUGUAUGAAGAUCUCCUGUAAUGUCUGAGGCUCUUGUAUGAAGUUCUUCCUGAAAAGAUUCUGGUCAUCCCUGUCUUAGCUUGGACUGCUCUAACAGAAUACCAUCGACUGGCUGGCCUUAAACAAUGGAAGUUUAUUUCUCACAGUUCUGGAGGCUGGGACCUUCAAGAUCAAGAUGCUGGCAGAUUCUGUGCCUGAACGUGUAACACCAAGACUGAACCCUAAGGUAAACCUUGGACUUUGGGUAUUGACGACGUGUCAGCGCAAGUUCAUCCUUGGUAACAAAUGUACCACCUGAGGUGUUUCCAGUGCCCUCCUCAUAGCUGCUUGUGCCUCCGGGUCACUGGUGCCUUGCUGCUGCUGGUGUCACUGCCAUUGCUGGCAUCGCCACUGAGGUCACUGAGAUAGCAGGCACCUUCAGCACCUCCAGGAUCACCUGGGCCAUGGGAACUGCUGCAGCGGGGACAUGCUGUGCAGGGCUCAGUGGCUUCCCCACCAUCACUCGUGUUUGUGGGUGGUCAAGUAGGAACUGGGAUUCCAGAAGUGCUGACUCACUGACUGUCUGACCAGCACUGUGUAAAAGUUGGCCUUUGCACCCUAGACGUAUGUUUUUGAAACAUCUGCGUGUGUCUGGGUUCCGGAUGUGAAAAAGUUCUCCCGUCCGAUGGUUUUCAGUAUAUGCCUGCUAACACUAUGCUAUACUACACUGAAAGGGAGCGUAUUUUGAUCAGUUCUGUCACCCACCUGCUAUGCCCGUGCCUGGAGCUGCCACAGGCCGCAGGGGAUCAUCAGAUUUGAGGAGCAGGAUCGCGACGACUCCGCUGUCUGGUCAUCUCAGAGCGCUGGGCCUCGUUCUUCUCUGAAAAGUGGGAGAAGGACCUAAGAAUAUGUUUGAAAGACAAGGCUACCACCUUCCCUUCAGUCCCCACCUCCCACUUACACAUACGCGCCGUGAAUACAACAGCACCAAGAGCUGCCCAAUCAGAGCACAUGGACUAGUUGAUCUGGAUUCCAGUAACUGGCAGACUUUUCACGGAGAGAGUGGCUUCUAACUUGGGCCUUGAAGCUUGGAUUUGGAGGAGCAAAGAGGGGCAGCAGGAAUCUUUAAAUUGGAGGAACAUCAUCAGCUAUAAAUCUGGAGACACAAAUAUGCAGGGUAUUAUAUGAGACCGAACAGAAUAAAAGUGACCAAGGCUCACGACUGAGAGAAGUGGGGUCAAAGGCAUGACAGAGCUUAAACCCUGGAAGCUAAGUUGAGAGGUUAGAAGGAGAUCCACUGAGAAAGAUGGUGGAGCACUUAGGGAAUACGUUCUAUGUUUUUCAGGCUUUGGACCCUCAAAUCUGGACUCAAAUAUAGGAUUAAUCUGGUAAACCACAAAAUCAAGACUACUUCAUGCUAAAUCAUGACUUUAUUCCCAGGAUUCCCUUGGGGUCUCUCCCGGUUUUGAGAAUCAGCACACUCAUACCCCACUCGACCAUCCCCUCGGCCUCCAUGGCUCCUCCAUUUACAUGGCCCCUGGCACAACACUACUUUACCAACAGUGAUUGGGGCACAGUUGUGCAAAACAGAAUUGAGUUCUGCUGCAUCUGAAAAAGUAGAGUGAGCUGGAGCAUGGUCUCGGUUGUGUUCUCUAAGGCUGAGCAGAGUCAGGCUGUACAACAGAGCUUCUUACAGUCACAAUCCAUUAUCUUUUCUGUAAAGCAGGGACGGUGAUGCCUCGGUGUUCCUAUUACUAGGUGUGGGGGCUGUAUGAGUUUCCUAGGAUUUCCAUGACAAGGUACCACAUCCAUGUGGCUUAAAACAACAGGAAAAUAUUGUUUCAUGGUUCUGGAGGCUGCAAGUCUGAAACCAAGUUAUUGAGUGGGCCCUGCUCUUGCUGAGAUCUUCCAGGGAGAGCCCUUCCUUGACUCUUCUAACUUCUGUGUUUGCAGACAUUCCUUGGUGUCCCUUGGCUUGUAGAUACAUCACUCCAACCUGCCUCCAUUGUCACAUGGCUGUUUUCUUUCUGUGUGUACCUGUCUUUGUGUCUCUUCUCCUCUCUUAGAAGGACGUAUUUCCUACUGGAUUAAGGGCCCACCCUCCUCCAGUAUGACUUCACCAUAAUUUGAUUAUAUCUCCCAAGACCCUAUUUCCACAAAAGGUCACAUUAACAGGCUCCAGGGACUUCAACACAGCUUUUUUGCAGGACACAGUCCAACUCAUAACAGAGACCACUAUCUGAGACAGAAGAAUGAGUCCUUCACAGGUUGGGAGAAACACAGCCUGCUUCCGCCGGAGCAGAGGGGUCCUGGAAGUGCCCUGUGCUGCCUGAAAACUUCUGAGCUGCAAUGCUAUGCUUCCA